GACGAACGCUGGCGGCGUGCCUAAUACAUGCAAGUAGAACGCACAGUUUAUACCGUAGCUUGCUACACCAUAGACUGUGAGUUGCGAACGGGUGAGUAACGCGUAGGUAACCUGCCUGGUAGCGGGGGAUAACUAUUGGAAACGAUAGCUAAUACCGCAUAAUAUUAAUUAUUGCAUGAUAAUUAAUUGAAAGGUGCAAUUGCACCACUACCAGAUGGACCUGCGUUGUAUUAGCUAGUAGGGGAGGUAACGGCUCACCUAGGCGACGAUACAUAGCCGACCUGAGAGGGUGAGCGGCCACACUGGGACUGAGACACGGCCCAGACUCCUACGGGAGGCAGCAGUAGGGAAUCUUCGGCAAUGGACGAAAGUCUGACCGAGCAACGCCGCGUGAGUGAAGAAGGUUGUCGGAUCGUAAAGCUCUGUUGUAAGAGAAGAACGGGUGUGAGAGUGGAAAGUUCACACUGUGACGGUAGCUUACCAGAAAGGGACGGCUAACUACGUG
RNAcentral lists this ribosomal RNA (505 nucleotides) under uncultured bacterium. RNAcentral describes it as "partial 16S ribosomal RNA". It matches the Rfam family "Bacterial small subunit ribosomal RNA", at positions 28 to 507 of the family's 1533-position model. The record is from RNAcentral.